UACAGAGGGUGCGAGCGUUAAUCGGAAUCACUGGGCGUAAAGCGCACGUAGGCGGGUCGCUAAGUCAGGGGUGAAAUCCUGGAGCUCAACUCCAGAACUGCCCUUGAUACUGGCGAUCUCGAGUUCGGGAGAGGUGAGUGGAACUGCGAGUGUAGAGGUGAAAUUCGUAGAUAUUCGCAAGAACACCAGUGGCGAAGGCGGCAUCCUGGACCGGUAUUGACGCUGAGGCGCGAAAGCUAGGGGAGCAAACGGG
Molecule: ribosomal RNA, 253 nt
Filed under: uncultured bacterium
Lineage: Bacteria
Description: partial 16S ribosomal RNA
Rfam family: Bacterial small subunit ribosomal RNA
Source: RNAcentral